Molecule: long non-coding RNA, 1296 nt
Filed under: Homo sapiens (human)
Lineage: Eukaryota; Metazoa; Chordata; Mammalia; Primates; Hominidae
Description: HSALNT0338061
Source: RNAcentral
GCGGCACAAGGGACUUCCGGCUCUUGACUCCGCCCAGCCGCGCCACCCAGGCUGUACAGGAGGCAUGGCUGGGGAGGCCUCAGAAAACUUACAAUCAUGGCAGAAGGUGAAGGGGAAGCCAGCACAUCUUCAUAUGAUGGCAGGAACUUUAUAUGUUAUAGAAGUUAGCCCCAAGAAUGAAAUCGUGUCCUUUGCCAAAACAUGGAUGGAGCUAGAGGCCUUUAUCCUAAGUGAGUUAACGCAGGAACAGAAAGCCAAAUAGUGCAUGUUCUCACUGAUAAGUGGGAGCUAAACUAUGGGUUCACAAAGGCAUGCAGAGUGGUACUGUGGACAUUGGAGACUCAGAAUGGGGGAGGCUAGGAGGGAGGUAAGGGAUGAAAAAGUACCUGUUGGGUACAAUGUACACUACUUGGGUGACGAUGGGUCCACUAAAAUCCCAGAUUUAACCACUGUACAAUUCAUCCAUGUAACCAAAACCCACCUGUACCCCAAUGCUAUGAAAAUAAAUAAAACCAAAUUAGCUCUGUUUCUGUUAGAUGAGAUGCAAAUAUUUUCCCAAGUUUGUCCUUUGUCUUUUGACUUUGUUUAUGGUGUUUCACUCAUGCAGAUGUUUUUUAUUUUCAUGUUUUUAACUUGUCAUUAUUUUCUUUCAUGUCUUCUGGAUUUUAAGUCAUGUUAUCAAGGCUUUCCCACUCUGAUAUUAUAAAUGAAUUUUUCCUCAUUUCUCUUAGAACUUUGAUUCUUUCACUUCCCACAUUUAACCUUCCACGUAUCCAGAAUUUCCCCUAGCAUAAGUUGAUACGGUCCCAAUGUUUCUUUUUUUUUUUUCCCAAAUGGCCACUCAUUUAUACCAACACCAUUUAUUGAAUCGUCUAUAGUCCCCACUGAUUUGAAAUGCCAGCUUUACAUACCAAAGUCCUGUAUGCAUUUGCCUCUGUUCUGUUUGGUAGGUCUAUUCAAGCUCCAGUUCCCAAAAGUGUUGAGUGUCGCUUAAAAUCUAGAAGGGCUGGUUUCUAGUUUUCCAUAAUUGCUCCUCUUUUCUAGUGUCCUCUGUCCUAUUAGGGCUUAUUGAUUUUUAAAUAUGAUUUGUGGAUUCAGUUUUCUUUAGUUCUAGUGAGCAACAAAAACAACCAAGAAAAAAAUAAAAAAAACCCUCCCUGUUUUCCUUUCUUUCUUUCUUUUUUUAAUCAAGAUCACCUUAAGUUUAAAAAUUAACGUAGGAUAACUUGACAUAUUUUAUGAUUUUUAUGUUACUCUCCAAAAAUAUAAUAAGUGGUUCUAUUUAUUCAACUCUAC